RNAcentral lists this ribosomal RNA (508 nucleotides) under uncultured bacterium. RNAcentral describes it as "partial 16S ribosomal RNA". It matches the Rfam family "Bacterial small subunit ribosomal RNA", at positions 29 to 523 of the family's 1533-position model. The record is from RNAcentral.
AUUGAACGCUGGCGGCAUGCCUUACACAUGCAAGUCGAACGGCAGCGGGGGAGAAGCUUGCUUUUCCUGCCGGCGAGUGGCGAACGGGUGAGUAAUACAUCGGAACGUGCCCUGUAGGGGGGGAUAACUAGUCGAAAGAUUAGCUAAUACCGCAUACGACCUGAGGGUGAAAGUGGGGGACCGCAAGGCCUCAUGCUAUAGGAGCGGCCGAUGUCUGAUUAGCUAGGUGGUGGGGUAAAGGCCGACCAAGGCGACGAUCAGGAGCUGGUCUGGAAGGACGAGCACCCACACUGGGGCUGCGGCACAGCCCAGCCUCCUACGGGAGGAAGCAGUGGGGAAUUUUGGACAAUGGGCGAAAGCCUGCUCCAGCAAUGCCGCGUGUGUGAAGAAGGCCUUCGGGUUGUAAAGCACUUUUGUCCGGAAAGAAAUGGCUCUGGUUAAUACCUGGGGUCGAUGACGGUACCGGAAGAAUAAGGACCGGCUAACUACGUGCCAGCCGCCGCCGUAA